RNA transcript from Onychomys torridus (southern grasshopper mouse), 6598 nucleotides. It is a transcript of the gene named chromosome 2 C8orf34 homolog, with no coding region annotated. Lineage: Eukaryota; Metazoa; Chordata; Mammalia; Rodentia; Cricetidae. The record is from RefSeq and is a predicted model, not a curated record. The transcript has 16 exons.
GCCCUUGGGUGUAUGCGCUUUGGGAAUUUUCAGUCAGUUCUCAGGGUGUAACGCCAACUGACUUGCUCAAGGCCAAGCCAGAUAUCUUUUUCUCCCCCUCCUCCUUCUUUUUAUCUUUAUUUUAAAGAUAAGCAACUUUGUUUUCUCGGCAAACCCCACCCACUUGUUUUCAUUUCUGGCUUUCUCUUCUCUCCAGCUAGUGAAGACCGAGCAUGUGCCCCGGAGAAGAUCACUCUGGGUGGUGAGGACCAUCCUCUUUGGAACUGUGGUUGUAGCUGCCAAGGAGUAGCCAACAAGCACCAGAUUUAUGUGCACUUUGAAAGAAGCACCUUUACCAUUGGCUUUUUGAGCGGCGCUGUCGCUAGGGAGCGAGCACCGCCUGGGGAGCAGCCUGGGCACUGGCUCCUAGCAGCCCGGGAGCAGGGCGCACACCGUGGCGCGCUUUGGGCGGCUCCGCGCACUGUCACCCCUGCGGCCGGCACUGUCCCCCAGAUCGGCUUCCAGAGGCGCUGCACAGACUCUCGCCUCUGGCCACGGGCUCCUACUGCUGCCGCCCAGAGGACAGACGAGCCUCUGCCCGUGAUUUCCCCGUGGCGCGGCGCUGCGGAAAGCCGAGCGGGUGGGCGCGAGCUGCAGGACGCGAUGGAGUUCUCUCCUCGCCUUGGAGUUGCCUGAGUUAGUAGAGCCUCGCAGGGUUCCCUGCUCCUUGCUCCCUGUUUCCUUCCGCUCGCAGCUUAUCAUUCGCUCUGUUGCUAUCCAUCGCUGUGCCAGGGAGCCCAGGCUCCAGACCUCCUGUCCCGGGUACAUUUGGGGGCAAAGGAGGGUUAUACUCAGCCAAGGUGCACUGUCUUCUCUCCGCUGACCCAUCUUUUUCUCCAUGGCGUCUCGUCAACAAACCCGAAUCCAGGCUUACCUGGAGAAAAACAGGAUCGGUCCUCUGUUUGAGGAAUUAAUGACCAAGCUAAUAACUGAGACACCUGACCAGCCAAUCCCAUUUCUCAUUGAUCAUCUUCAGUCUAAACAAGGGAGCCGAGGACAACUGCAAAGAACCUUGUCUGGGUCAGCAGCUCUCUGGGCAGAAAGUGAAACAUCAGAACCCAAAGGAACAAGAAGGGAUUUCAGAAGCUAUGAUAAACCUUGGCAGUUGAAUGCAAAGAAGCCUAAAAAAUCAAAAAGUGACCUUGCUGUGUCUAAUAUUUCUCCUCCAUCACCAGACUCAAAAUCAUUGCCAAGGUCAGUAGAACAUCCUAAGUGGGACUGGCGGACUAAACCACAAAGCCGUGAUUUUGAUGAAUUGAACCACAUCCUUCAAGAGAGCAAGAAGCUGGGGAAAGCCCUUGAGAAUCUCUCUCGAAGUAUUGCAAUUUCAGAUGAACUUGAUAAGGAGACAGUGGCUUUCAAUUCUUCUCUUCUGAGACCCCGCGUGAUUGGGGAGUGGAUUGGCAGAGCGGAAAAUGAUGCUGAUCCCCUGGCAGCUGAAAUGCUGCAGCCCCCGGUUCCACGGAAUAAGAAUGACCCAUGGGAAAGUGAAGAGAGCAGCUCCAGCCCAGCAGGAAGCUUAAAGAUGGAGCCCAAGACUAAAGGAUUAAAACAGCAGCAGCAGCAGCAUAAGAAACUUCUGGCUGCGAUGCUUUCCCAGGAUUCCUUCGAGUCCAUCCAUAGCCCCACGCCAUCUGUAAUAGAAGAAGACAUUGACAAUGAAGACGAUGCAAUGGAGUUGUUGGAAGAUCUGGAUGACUUGAGAAUGGAGGGCGUCACCACCCUGGUACUUUCCGGGAGCAAAUUUAACCAAGGUCGUUCUACUCACCCUGCCGAGCCACAAGCCAAAGUCACACUGAACAUCUGUUCAAGGUGUGCCAGGCUUCAAGGAGACAAUCUGAUGGAAAGGCCAGAAGACACAUUACAGCUAUUUCAUUCUCCAGAGGAGAUAAUCCCAGAUUCAUUGGAUUCUUUACCUGGGACUGAAGAAACUCUCAUGGAGGAAGGUGAAGAUUUUGAGAAAACAUCAAAAUCAACAGAACUUGGAGAAGACUCCAGUGGAGGACACUCUUUGAAAUCCUACAUGGAGGAAGAUGAGUCUCUAAAGCAAUUGCAGGUUGUGCAUCAGCCAUGGCUCCUGCCAAGUGACACAGAAAGUGAAGGAGUUGAAGCAGAGCAGGAUACAUGUUCUGCUGAUCUUCUUUGUGUCCCGUGCUCUUCUUGUCCCACCCUGAUCUACUCCGGUCUAUCUGUGAAACAGGCAAAAGACAUUUCAAGUGGUCCUUAAGGAGACGGUAGCUGACUGAAUCCAUACAAAUUGUCCCAAUUUGAAGUACUAUAUGAAAUCUAUAAAGAAAUAUUAUUUUUCUAACAUAAACAAUAAACAAACACUCAUGUAAUGAGGGUAUGCACCCAUCUAUAGUCAGAGAAUUCAGGAAAAGUGGUCUAGUGAUCAUGGAAUCUGAUACCUUUCAAUCUGGUCAGUGUCUUGGGUUUAUGUUACCUUAUAUGUAGUUAUUAAAAUUAAUGUUUGAUAUAGUAAAUAUUGCCUGAAUCAAAUAUUUAAAUUUUCUGAAUCUUGAUUUAGCUAGGAUUUUCUACCUCUAUUUUUAUAAUGGCAUCUUAUCUUUUGGAUCAAUAAGCAUUGCACUUGCCCACAUAUGCCAAGAUACAGCUCUAGUCCCAGGCAGCAGUUGACUGUGUGGCAGUAGCCGCUGAGAUGGAAACUCUCUGCACCAGGAAGAAAUGUUUUCCCCAUCACUGCCCCUACAUGGUUAUAGUCCCCAUUCUUAUUAAAACAUGACUAUUACUUCAGCAAGACAAAACAACAAAUAAUGAAAUGCAUGCCCUCAGAGCACUUGCAAGGAAAAUCACUGAUCAUUUAUGCAAUUACAGAGCCACAUUAAGAUUAUUCAGUUUAAAUCUGAUUUCUGCUUACUUUUGGAAUGUGCUAUGUGUUGAUUCUAAUGAAUGGAUCUCAGUGAAUCUAUUGACUAUAUCUGCUAUCUUUUAUUUGUCUUAAUGCAAAUUUUUUGGUGGACUUUAAUGAAUGCAGGCUAAAUUAUAAAACUCUUUGUAUAGCUAUAAAGGAAACAACUGUUGAAGACUAGAAAAUAGUUAAGGAAUAAACAAGCAAUUUCUGACUUCUGAAUUAACUCAUAUUCACAAAUAUAAAUAACAAAAUUAUAAGUUAUAUAAUAAAUUUUCUUACAUCGUUGUUUUCUUACAUGAUGAAACUCAUUUAAGUAAUAACUAUUUUUAUGGAUAGGAAUAAAUUAAAGCUUCACUAUUAAUUGCUGCUCAUGGAUGGGACAGAGACCAGGUUUAUUUUGGCUUGUUUUUUUGGAGGUUUCAGAGCAUGCUCUACUGACUCCUUUGCCUUUGGUCUGUGGCAGAGCAGAUUGUCAUGGCAGAAAAAGUAUGAGACAUGAGCUUACCCCCUUCAUGGAGGCUCAGAAGCAUAGAUGUUGAGAGGCAGGAAUGAGAUCACCUUUUAAUGACUCACUUCCUUUAUCCAGGCCCAGCAUUACAGUUUCCACUACAUUUUGAUAACCCAUUCAACUGUGGAUUCAUUAACAGAUUAGGCCAUUGAUAUUGGUUCAAUACUUUAAGAUCCAAUCACUUCCCCAGAACCUCACCUCUGAAAAUAUUAUUGGUAACCCUACAAGUCUUAGAGAGGGGACAUUUUUUAACCAAAUUAUAUUAUAUUAACAGCUGAGAAAAUAGUGAGUUUUUUAAGCAAAAAGCAAGAAGGCAGGAUAUUAAGUUUACAGGAUCAGAAUAUUUAUUUAAAAAUCUGCAUCAUGAAAUGAAGCUUCAAAAAGGUUCAACUGAGGAUUUAAAUUAUUCUCCUCAUUAGACAUUUUCUUUCUUUAAAACAUAACAUCAAUCAUGUGUUUAUCUGAGCCACAUUCUCCUCCAACAAUGGCUUAUUCCAACUUGGUCCCCCUCUCGCCAACUGGCUUACCUCCAGACUCUCAGCCUCUUUGUCCCACAUGGAUCUCAGGAAUCACAUGCUCCAGGAUGCAAGAAUGGCUAGCACUGAGUGCAUUGUGGAGGAUGAGCCAAGGCAGACCCCAAAUGAAAGACUCAGAGCCUGAAAGAACUCAGAACUCGGAAGGAAAUCAAUACCACAGAAGAAAGAGAACAUGGCUUGUGGUGUUCCUGACUGAGUCAAGUCCAAGACACACUGGAAAGCUACACAGCAGCCCAGUUUUGUGUGAUUUCCAACCUGAUAGCCAGACCAAAGAGGUUAGCUGUGACAAAUGGCCUCUCCAAAAUGAACUUGACUUUUUGUAUUAACGUCUCUUCCAAACUAGCAUGUAAAUAUCCUUUCCCAAACCCAAAGGAUAUGCCAUUACAGACUCCUAAGUAAUACACUAACCCCUUCUCUGGUACAUGUCAGAGUUAAUGACAUAAUCUGUAGCUGGAAUUCUGUGUUUAUUAAAGACCCUUAGGGUAGUCUAUAAGAUUAAAUCAAAGUUACAUUUUGUGACAUGUUGCAAAUAACAAGCUGAUAUUUCAGAAUAAAAUGCUCUUCCUUGUGGUAUAUACCUACACCUAAUUGUAAUUGAUCUCUCUGUGACUGAUUCUAAGCUACCAACAUCUUAUCACUUACCACACAGCAGGGAAGUGAUGUAUAUAAAGUAGACCCUUAUAAGUCCUGUGAACUCGCUCCAGAAAUUCCCUUGCAUCUGAUCCUGUAUAAAUAAUACUCAGAGAAAUGUGUCUCUUGCUCAACUUAAGGGACAAAUUGGGAUAAGAAUUAGGAAUGGGAAGGAGGAGUCAUGACUUUGAACAACUUUCAUUUUAAGUAUUUGUGGAAUCACAUACAAAUUCUGGUUUAAUACUUGCAACAUCUAGAAAUUUAAAGGGUGAUCAGGAUACAAAAUUCUUUCUCUCCUUGGGACAUUCUUUCAAACCAAGUUGAUAGUUUCUAAUUUAGGGCACUAGAGGGUUAAUAGGUGAACUUAAAAGUAAGGUUAUGUUCCCAGAUUUCAAGGCCAGGGGGCUUUGUAACGCUUAAAUUACAGGAUAAUUUAGGGCCAAAUUGGGCUCUGGUGCCACAAGGUUAGGAUUGUGUCCAAGUGUUACUUAUCAUUAGUGCAAGAUAACUUUAUUAAGGUCUGACUCUACAUUCAGUUGCUGAAUCCAGCAUGGCUCUAAAUGGACCUGACAGGGGUACCAAAGGAAUAAAGAAAAGACAAACUCACACAAACCCAUGGGCACAGAGAAAUAGCUGGGAUUGGGUGGAAUAGUCUCUUUGGUAGAGAAACACCAGCACCCCAGAGGCUCCAAAUAUUUAUUUCAUAGAGCAGAACAGAGAGGAGGGCUAUUGCAUACAGGUGAACAAGGUCAGUGGUUAUGACUUUCAGAUAGAUGAAGAGGUGGGCUUUAUGGGGCAGCUGGAUCCAGAAGGCAGGCUGUAAAUAUCCAGUGGAGGAGGCUGUGGUAGACAUUUUCUGCACACACUAUGAACGUCCACACAUGGACCAGAAGGGAAGGUUUGCUAGUCCUCUGAGCCUCAUCCUGGGGAAAGACAUUGCUGUUUCCCCACUGGUCUGAGGCUAUGCUCCUUGAUGGGACCAGUUCAUGUCAGCAACACACAUUCACUCAGGACUUUACUCACUCAGGGCUUCUCCCACUCCCCACAUUCAGUUCUGUUAAGCACAAGUCACCAGCAUUUCUCCUUACUAUCUGAGGUUAUUUAUAGCAGAAUGAAGACUUUUACAACCCGUUUCUCAUUCCCAGUGCUCAUUGCUUAUUCAUAUUUGAAGCAAUAUUCUUUAUCUUACUGUAUGUUAUGCAUACUAAUCUUUCAACCAGUUUAUGUAGACCUUAUUUUCAUUUUACAAGUGCAACUGAAAAGAAAAAAUUAAGUUGCCAAAUUUCACAGUAAUACUUAUAACUGUUCAAGAGUCAGCUUUUUCUACAGUCAAGACCUUUGUUAUCCUGGAAGCACUUUUAUUAUCCUGGACAGCACAUUAAUUCAUAUCCUUUAGGCCAAGUUAUGGGCCAAGAAUAAAGAUGUUACUCCAUAAUGUGGAUUUGACAGUUUCAUCCAGAAAGAUCAAAUCCAGAGGAAUGGAACUUGGGGUUCAGUCACGAAGAUUGUGAGCUUGUGGAGUGUAUGUGACUCUGUAGGAAAACUCUAAGUAUUAACAUUACAUCAAGUGAUGACUUAAAAUAUACAAAGGGCUGAGGUCACAAUCUUCUGAUCCUUUAUUUGUUCUCAGCACUAAUGAGAGAGCAAUCUAUCUGAGGUAGGACGGGGGAGCUUAACAUUAUGGGUAUGUUGUUUGAGAAACAGCAAGACAAGUGUCCUGUUGCAAAUGACAUGGGUAGAAAGAGAUCUGGAGAAGGAGUCAAGUUCAGAGCUGAACUUGCUGGGUCUUUGGGGGAAGUCCUAUUGCUUGUCUGAGCUUCACUUUUAAAAUAGGAUUUGCAUUGCCCCUUAUAAGAUAUUGUCUUAUAAGACAUGGUUAAUUAUUACAUAAGCAAUUAUGAUUAGUGAUAGCUAUAAAGCAAAAAAUAAAUAGACAUGGAUUCAUUGUAUUUGUGGUAGAUUGUACCUGGCUUUUUUUUUGGGGGGGGGGAUAUGAGCAGCUCCCAAAUUGUG